AGNACGCCGCGGUGAAUACGUUCCCGGGCCUUGUACACACCGCCCGUCACACCAUGAGAGUUUGUAACACCCGAAGCCGGUGGCGUAACCCUUUUAGGGAGCGAGCCGUCUAAGGUGGGACAAAUGAUUAGGGUGAAGUCGUAACAAGGUAGCCGUAGGAGAACCUGCGGCUGGAUCACCUUCUUU
RNAcentral lists this ribosomal RNA (186 nucleotides) under Lacticaseibacillus casei. RNAcentral's name for it is "Lactobacillus casei partial 16S rRNA". It matches the Rfam family "Bacterial small subunit ribosomal RNA", at positions 1351 to 1533 of the family's 1533-position model. The record is from RNAcentral. Lineage: Bacteria; Bacillati; Bacillota; Bacilli; Lactobacillales; Lactobacillaceae.